RNAcentral lists this long non-coding RNA (1287 nucleotides) under Heterocephalus glaber (naked mole-rat). RNAcentral describes it as "lncRNA (ENSHGLG00000032030.1)". The record is from RNAcentral. Lineage: Eukaryota; Metazoa; Chordata; Mammalia; Rodentia; Bathyergidae.
GUGGACACCGCACUGGGUUUCUUCUCCAAUUCUAACCUGCUGUGAAGAAGUCACAUUUUAAGUGAAACCCUGGGCUGUUCUAGUUUACCAUAACUUGGGGUUUUGCUGGAUCUGGAGCUCCUGGCCAAGUCUGUUACUUCUCCCUGGAGUUGCCAUCCUCCAGGACGUACCUUCUCUCAAGUCAGUUGGUCUAGUCCACUGUCAGUGUGCUUCUUGGUUGGAGCCUCCGCUGCCAAGUGCUGAGGGGAAACAAAACAGAGCUUGGAGGUGAUUAGUGUGCAGUCCACAGAAAUCCUUCUGCUGUUCUCAUUUACUUGAUGAAUGAAAUCUCCCAGGGUAAAGAGCCUUCGGGUGCUGGACUUGUCAGGUGUGGAGAAGUAUAAUAACCAGGGUCAGCAGACUCAGUGACAAGAACACCACUUCUGUGCCUCAAAGAUGACAUCUUCCCAUUGUGUCUUCAUGUGAUGGAAGAGUCGGACGUAUGCAUCUACUGAGAGCAUAGGACAAAACGUCUUCAGAGUGAUGCGAAGGUUCUUUGUUUGAAAUGAAGCUCUGCUAAAGCAACUGCAGAGAACAUCAGUUCUCCAAGGACUACAUGUGUCUGACAAUGUUAAAGGAGGGAAUAUCCAGACCCUACAGGGACCUCAUUGUUUUAAGUUCACUUCUGUGGGAAAGCCAGUGUCAGAAGAAUAUAAACUCAAGGCUGAUAAAAAUUCGCAGUAGGUGUAACUGUCAGAAGACUGCAGUGUGGCAGAAGAGAACGGUGGAAACCACAGGCUGACCGCAUCCCUCUGUGAAGUCAACACUCCUACAGAAUAGCACUCUGCUAGAGCUACUCUCACUGAAUUCUGUUUGCAGGUACAGAGAUGCUUCUGAUGUCUGGCCAUCUGGCAGUGCGGACAGGAGAUGUCCUUGAAGCAGAUGCCCCCAUAAAAUACUAAAACUUCUUCACAACUGCUGACACCUUAGGUGGGAAGAGCAGCUCUCUUCGUUGACUCUGUAGGAAAGAACGGCAUCUGUAGUUGGAAUUGACUGCACCGACAAUGACUUUUCAACGUAAAACUAAAGAAAAUCUGGAGGAGGAGAAUAAAACAAAGAUCAUUUUCUAAAAGAAAAAAAUGGAGGAUUUGACGGCAUUCAAAAUAAUAAUGCCACCUGGAACUUGAACCAAAUUUUUCCAAUUCCAAACCUAUUGUUAUUCCCUGCCACAGCAAAAUCUACCAGGCAAGUUGUAAAUAUAAAAGGUGAGAAAUUUAAUUUUUAUGAAACAACUAAGAACAAAGGCUC